This is a long non-coding RNA of Gavialis gangeticus (Gharial), 4208 nucleotides long. RefSeq lists it as uncharacterized. The record is from RefSeq and is a predicted model, not a curated record. NCBI's taxonomy places the organism in Eukaryota, Metazoa, Chordata, Crocodylia, Gavialidae. The transcript is spliced from 2 exons.
GCAGCUUACUAAAGAAAAGAAACUCUUCCACUCUGAAGGGUUUUCUUUGAUUCUUCCGUUAUUAUGUCCUUUGAUAUUAUUAUUUUUUCCUUUUUAUUCUGUUUUUGGUUCUUUGAUGAGAAAAUGCUUGCGGUUCUUACUACCGAUUUGAAAAUGUGUCCAGUGCUGCCUCCAUUAAUCCUCUAUCAUGAAACUCUUUUGGGCAAAACUUGUCAGCGUCCUCAUGCCAUUAGUUACCCAUUAUGUAGUCAUAGAGAUGCAGGGGGAAACGGUUUGGUGUUUUCAACCUGACUGGAGAGCUGCUUGCCUUUAAAGGCAUCUGAGUGGGAAAAGAGCCUGAGAUGGUGAUUCGAAGGCCUGAAAAGCAUUUAUAUGGAUUUGAUGUUGGGUCCAGAGAGCAUAAGUGUGGAUUUGCAGCAUGAGAGGAGCAAAUUGUAGCUAGAACAGGAAUGUCCCUGAUUUGAGCUCCAUGUAAAGCAAGGUCAUGGCUUGUGAUGAACCUCGAUUUCCCCGUGACAGGGUCUGUACAACCUUGUGCUAAUGUGCAACACUGCUGCACAGUAGUACAGUGUUCACUACCCUAAGUGAAAUAAAUGUUCCCAGUUCUCUUUCCCUGUCCACUUUGCAAGAAGAUGUUGGGAUAUUAAAAGCCACCUAAAAUGGUGUUUCCCUUAAGAAACUUUCUCAGUGGUCUGCCAUCCGGAUUGUUUGGUUGGGGGGAGGGAGGGACGUAACAGAGUAUCAAGGGAAUAAAGUAAAAGGAAGCAGUGUUAAAACAUUAGCUACAUUAGAAACAUGGAUUUUAAGUCAAUGGAAAAACUCUUAUUGACUUGACUAGGGCCAGGAUUUCACCCAAGAGAACUGUGGCUUUGUUGUGUUUAAGCAUCCAUAGGGAAACAAAGGCAGUAUAUGUAAAGGGCUUGAGUCUUAAGGCCAAUAAAGAUGUUUAGUGGAGUUCUGAGUCUUAGUCCCUAGGGAUGAGGAUGGGUUUUGUUCAGAAGGAUCUGGGGAUAAACUGGGAAUGGAUAAAAGUAGUAAAAAAGGUAAAAAGCCAGUUGGCCCCAGGUGUAAGUCAAUGGAGGUAAGUGGCACUCCAUCAGGAUGGAUCCAACUCAUUUUGUGAUGGGGAUAUAGUCAAAACUCUCUCUUUAACUCCCAGAAAUGCUCCCAGUGCCUUGUUUGCAUUGAAUCAGCUCUUGAAAGGUCAUGAGAUAUGAGAGCCACAUGGAUGCAGAUGGGGAUGGAUGUUUGCUAUUCCUGUUUCUCGUCAGCAAGUCCCUCCUGUCAACUUCCAUCACCAAAAUGCUCAUGUGGUUGGCUCUGCCUGUGUGCUGCAGUGAAGAGGAGCUGCGCCUCUGCUUUCCCUGCCUGUCACUCUGUCUAACGCAUGCUAGGGAUUGUCAGGAGGAUUAUCAUGGGGACUGGCAGGUGCUCGUCACUUUUGUGCAGACAGGAUUUUAUGGCAGCUACUUUCAUAGUUUUAACACAGAUCUAUGGGCCACACAGACUGUAAAUCUCUUCAACCAGUGCUCCAAUGCUAACCAAAGCAGCCUAUGAAUGAUAGUUAGGGACAAAAACUAUUUUAUUGCAACAGAGAGAAAUGAAUUAGGGAGUGUAACAGAGAAUGGAUGUGUGGCACGACUAAAUAUAUUUUGGGCCAAAACCAUCUAUAAUGACAGCAACACUUCUGCUUGCCUGGGCCACUUAGAAGCAUUGCCCAGCGUGCACUUAAGAUGACAAAUUAGCUCAACCUUCCAGUUUUGUCACACACCCAGUCCCUGUGUAGGGCACAGUGAGUCAGGAAACAUGAAAGAGAUGCUGUCAGCACAGCCAAGAUCUCUACCCCAUGCAGCACACAACCAACUUUGCUCUUGGGUCUUGAUCUCCGCUUCCACCUGGACACAACCUAGGAAAGCGCUGGUUAAAAGUGACUAGAUCCUUCCAGCCCAUCUGUAGCAUCACCAUGGAAGCUUAUCCUCAGGUCAGGAGUCCUGCUGAUUGCAGGCAAGGGCACAGAGUUUGGUGCAAGAUACAUUUUAAUGCUUUUAGGAGUCUGAGUGUAAGAUGAAUCCUUCAGUAAACAAAUUUCCCAAGGCAAUAAGAGCUCAGGCUCAGAUUGCAUCAUUGGAGAUUCUCAGCCAAAGGCAUUUAUCCUAACAAUACUUUCCACACCUCCAUUAAUUGCCAAUAACUUUACAAGCCAAGAGAAGCUGCUACAGAUCCUAUGUGGGGUUGAGUAAGUCUUUCUAGCCUUCUUCAUCAGUUUCCCCAACGGACAGUCAUACUUGCCUUUUUGUGAAGCGCCUCGUUAUCUUUGGGAGUAGACUGAGCAUGUCACCACUGUUGCAAUAUUUCCUUUUUCUCCUAAUGCAAUUGGAGACUUGCAAUUACAUGACUCAAUUUGUUGUUAAAGUAGAUUUUGGGCAUCCUGGUUAAAGAGAAAAGCAAUGCAAUACCCGAAGGGCUCCAGAAAAAAAGAAGGCAAAUAAAAAAAAAUCUGAUAUAUAUUGAUCUGUAUAACAUCUUAUGAUGAUUAUAGCUAACCUUGAUUUUCAAAUGUUUGGCAUAGCAAUGCUGCAAUAUCGCAGGCAGGUGCCUUGGGAACCCUCGGUCUUUCAAGGCAUUUUGUAGCAGAUAAUUUUCUUGAGAGCCAUGCAACAAAGUUGAGAGUGGGGCUCGCCAGCUGCUCUGGUCAUGGAGAGUUUCCACAUCUUGCCAGUUGAAUUUCUCUCCAAAAAGAGCAGCUCAGCCUGCCUAAACUGGCUGGCACACGGGUGAAAACCAAGGCAAGCUGGAAAUGUGGUUUCCUUCCAUUGAUUGCUCUAUCCCUGGUGGUUCAUGAGCAGGAGAGCAAGGAGCCUGGGGAGAAAAGGGAAGAUGAGUCCUUAAUUCCAUUGGCUCCAGAAGAAAACAUUCCCUCUAGUGUUGAUCUGUUGUGUGUGGCUGAGUUUUCCUCAAACUGCCUCUCUCUGCUGUGUUAUACUAGCUGUCCAUGUCAGAAGGAGCAGGAUUAAAUGGAGUGAAAGGACUGUGUUUAUUCCCCUUAUAGUCUUUAUGGAGCAACAUAUCAUCUACAAGGGAACUUCUCUGUGCUACGUAGAGAACAUAGAGUGCAAGGAAGUUCUGUGUUCAUGAGCCGCAGUUGGCGAGGUGCAUCCAUGGAUUAGGAUGAGCAGAACCACUGUGCAUCUGCUCCCUCUCCCUUAUGCUAUAAUUACUCAGCCAGAGAGAAAGUGUUCUAGAGAGCACCCAUGCUUAGCCUGAACAAGGAGGCACCUACACCCAGAGUCAGAGGAAGUGCUUUGCAUUAACACAGUUAUUGGUUCAAUACAGUAGGCUCCUUCCUUCCCCAUAACUGAUGUGAUGGAGAGGGUGGGGACUGAGUAUCUUUGGGGGAAAGGGAGCUAGCUGCUAGGCCAAAGUUUAGGUGAUGGCUGGACUCAACCAUGGAUAUAAGUUUAAUGAACCUCAUCCUAAUCCUUACGUCCCCCUUCAUCAGGACAAAAAAAAAGAAGAUAAAACAGGGCAAGGUGAGCAGCACCAGCUCCAAAGAUGCCCCUAGCCAACAACACAUAGUGAUAUGAGGGUCAGGAUUCCUUUAUUUACAAGAAAGGGGAGUGUAAAGAGCUUUUGUGUUGUGUACGUUAUACAAGGGAAAUCCAGUGCCCAAGCACCAGAGCCAGCCCUGGCUCAGGGCUAGAUCUUAUAAGGUCCCCAUUAUAAUGAAUCCUGAGUAGUUUCUGGGUCUGCAUGAGGAAGGGAAUGGAAGCUGAUGAACAAUUUGGGGUUGGGCUUUCUUUGUGAACAGUGUAAGAGUGAGAACAAAGGCUUAAUUCUGAUGCCACUUACACCAGGGUAAAUCAGGAGUAACUGUGUUGAAGCCAAUGGACUUCAACUGAUGUGAAAUCAGCAUGAGUGAAAUCAGAAUCCAGCCCCAAGCCCCAAGCAAACCCAGGUGGGAAAUCUUGUUUCUCUGUAAGAGCACUGGGAUGUGAUCCUGACAUCUUCGCAGGAGAACAAAGCAAGUGAACAGAAUGUAGUAGUAUAUACUGUGCAUGUAAUGACUGGGUGGGCCUAGGCCGUAUCUAACAUAUAAAGGUGUUUAAUUUAUACACAUGCUCUGGAGGCAUUUUGGGGGGGGGUGUAGUGCAGCUCUGAGAUCCAUAGUAAUUAAAAGUUCCUGGAGCAUCAUGCGUAUCAACGUCCUG